UCGGCUGAAUGGAUUCGAAAAUGGUAAAACUCAACUGUUUAACUCUAGGGGAGUUGGAAAAUGAGCCUAUUUUCAAAAAAGUGGAGUGUUCCUUUAAAUAUUUGAUCUCCAUGCACAAGAUUAAGUGGGGUGGUCGAAACCAAGAAGGAGGAGGCACCACCUUGGGUGAAGAGGUGGAACAAGUAAACAGCUUCUUGUGGAGAACUGCUAUAUGCAGUAAAUACAUGACCAAAGGAGACAAAAGCACAAAUUCAGGAGGAGUCCCUAAACCUUGAUGCACUAAAGACAGAGUUUGCAGUAACAGAUGACACGCUUAAAGACUGGACCAGUGAGAUCCAGCAGUGGGCUGACACAGCAACAAGUAAGGAGAAUGCAAGCAGUCAACAGGGACUCCAGAAGACAAGUGAGACUCUUUAUGUGAGCAUCAGGCAGAGGAAGCGAGAUCUUUACCGUCAAACAGAUGGAAACGAGAGAAGACUCCGUAGAAAAAUUUUGGAGGAAAAGGCCAAAUUUAGUGCGGCUGUAGAUGAGUACAACAGGGAAGCACCUGAAAAGCUGCAGUCAGCUGACACCAUUCUGGCAUCUGAGAGCUGUGCAUGGCCAUGGGUGCUGGAUGAGCGUGAUAAUCUUGUCACCGAAAAAAGGGCAUUUGACCAACUGAUGCUGCUGAAGCGCCUUACCGAAGAGGAGUGCAUUGUCCUGAAUGAAAUCAGGAAUCACUGGAAAAGCCUCAAAAGGGAUCUGUCUCUUCUAAAUGACCUUUCAUGUCAUGUUGCUGUUGAUAUAAAAAAGAACUAACAGGACUCUGGACUUUCCAAAAGUGGAAUUCUGGGACUUCACGCUCUACUACAGAAAAAAACUAUGCUACCUAAAAAGUCACAUCUCCUCGGUUCGGCAGCUGUAUGGUAGUGUCCUAGACAAUUGUGAGGUGUGUGAGAAACUGCAAGAUGAUGAUUACCUUGACAUGGAUGAGGAUUAUAUCCAGUAUGGUUCAGAGGAUGAGCAGGAGGAUGAAGACGAAGUUUCAUUUGAAAUUUAAAACUUUGUAAAUCAUUACUGUGGAAAAACUGAGCAACAUACACUAAAUACUCAUUUAAUUUCCAUUAAAUCUUAACUGUCUAUAUUACUUGAUAAAACACUGACAAGGUGUUGUGCAAAUGUGUAAUCCUACUGUUAAAUUCUUGUUUUUAUAUUACAUUUCAUAAUUGACAUGGUAAAAAUUACACUGUAAAACAUUACUUGCACUCACUAUUAUUUAUUGUUAAAUAGCUUCUUGAUGUAACAAACCUGUAAUAUUCAUGACUAUCUGUACAAUGUUUUACCAAAAUGUACCAAAUUUGUGACAAAUUCAGACAGAGUACCUGCCAACCAAUUUUAUUGUUUUCAGUAUGAGUGUGCUGCAGAUUUCAUGUAAUGGGGUAGAUGUUUGGAAAUGCAGUGACCUGUCCAAUAAAUGUGCUAAACUGCUUUGCUCUAGAGCUGAUAUGUUACUAAAAUGCCUACCUAGGUCCUUUUUCAUCCUUGCCCUAAUAGACUGAUUGACAACUGGUUAAUUUGAUUUAUAGCCCAUUUCAGGUGAGUACUACUGGAUUUAUGUGUGUAAUGAUUCAAACUCAUUUAUUCAAACUUAUUUCAGGCUUAAGACUGUUUUCAGAAGCUUACAUGUGCUACAUUUUUUUUUUUAAAAGCCUAAAAACAGCUCAAACAUGCAUUUUAGUCCAGGACUAUCAUAAGCAUUGUCUGUGAAACCAGAGGGUAAA
Ctenopharyngodon idella (grass carp) is the source of this 1760-nucleotide long non-coding RNA. RefSeq lists it as uncharacterized. The record is from RefSeq and is a predicted model, not a curated record. Lineage: Eukaryota; Metazoa; Chordata; Actinopteri; Cypriniformes; Xenocyprididae. The transcript is spliced from 6 exons.